UGAUGGAGGCUAUAAAUGGACUUCUGGGAAAGGGACCAGACUCCUUGUGAGACCUAUGCAAACACUGGAAUUGGAAAUCUCAUCUGGGGGACUGGGACCAGGCUUCAGAUCCAUGCAAAUAUCAAGGACCCUCAGCCAGCUCUGUACCAACUAACAAGUCCCAAGUCAAGUGACACUUCAGUCUGCCUCCUGACAGACUUUGAUUCUUCUAAUACGUAUACAAAUGGUAACGACUCAACUGUGCUGGAGAUGAUGACGAUGGAAUCUAAGAGCUAUGGAGCAGUGGCUUGGGGUAGUAAAUCAAGCUUCAAUUGCACAAACGCAUUCCCGCAAAACAUCAUCAAUUUGACUCAACCAUCAGGUUCCACAUGCAAAGUCCAGGAUGUAGAGCAAAGUUUUGAAACAGACAAAGAUUUGAACUUGAUGAACGCGUCUCUGAUUUUUCUCCGUGUCAUCUUUUUGAAGACUGUGGGAUUUAACCUGCUCAUGACACUUCGCCUGUGGUCAAACUAAAGUCUGACAAGAAAGUGGACUCCAAACUUCCAGCUCCUUUUUUCUUCAUCUGCCCCUCUCCUUUAGCAUGAAAUGGAAAUAUCUGCCAAGACCCUGAUGAAUGAGUAUACACGUAGAAUCUCUAGGCCAACAGGAGAUACCAUAGACUGGAUACUACCACGUAUUUGGGAUGCCAAAGUGGAAAAAUCUCUCCACAUGCCAACCCAACCCUUUCAGUUCCUUCAUUGCUAUUUUUAACAUCUGUCAUUUAAUGGAGAUGGUAAAGGCAUGACCAGAGACCUUUCUGACCGUGAAGAAAUGCUAUAUCUGCAUCCUCAGCCCUCUUGAGAAACUUCCGGAAGAGUAGAGGAAAGAACAUUGUAGGUUCCUAAAAGUCCCUUAGAAUCUCCAAAACCCUUUAACUCCUUGGAAAAAUUGUCCUCUGACUCCUCCUCCUUUCCUUCUCCACCCCCCCCAUAAGUGAGGAUUAUAAGAAGAUUUUAUGUUUUUUAAUAGAGCUCAUUUAAAAAUCCAUUUAAUUCUUUUUAUUGUUGUAGAAGAGAUUAUAUAAUUGAAUAAGACUAACUUUACCACAUAUCUGAGCUGCACUGUAUUCUGCUACCUAGCCAGGUUGAUAGACUUUAUUAAAGGUGUUUUUGGAAAAAUGAA
This is a non-coding RNA of Phascolarctos cinereus (koala), 1161 nucleotides long. The record is from the annotation of a RefSeq genome assembly. Lineage: Eukaryota; Metazoa; Chordata; Mammalia; Diprotodontia; Phascolarctidae.